UACGUAGGUGGCAAGCGUUAUCCGGAUUUACUGGGUGUAAAGGGCGUGUAGGCGGGAGAGCAAGUCAGACGUGAAAUUCCAGGGCUCAACCCUGGAACUGCGUUUGAAACUGUUCUUCUUGAGUGAUGGAGAGGCAGGCGGAAUUCCGUGUGUAGCGGUGAAAUGCGUAGAUAUGAGGAGGAACACCAGUGGCGAAGGCGGUCUGCUGGACAGCAACUGACGCUGAGGCGCGAAAGCGUGGGGAGCAAACAGG
Molecule: ribosomal RNA, 253 nt
Filed under: uncultured bacterium
Lineage: Bacteria
Description: partial 16S ribosomal RNA
Rfam family: Bacterial small subunit ribosomal RNA
Source: RNAcentral